UUUUCAUCAGACAAUCUGUGUGAGCACUGCAAAGUACGCUUCUUUAAGGUAAGGAGGUGAUCCAACCGCAGGUUCCCCUACGGUUACCUUGUUACGACUUCACCCCAGUCAUGAAUCACAAAGUGGUAAGCGCCCUCCCGAAGGUUAAGCUACCUACUUCUUUUGCAACCCACUCCCAUGGUGUGACGGGCGGUGUGUACAAGGCCCGGGAACGUAUUCACCGUGGCAUUCUGAUCCACGAUUACUAGCGAUUCCGACUUCAUGGAGUCGAGUUGCAGACUCCAAUCCGGACUACGACGCACUUUAUGAGGUCCGCUUGCUCUCGCGAGGUCGCUUCUCUUUGUAUGCGCCAUUGUAGCACGUGUGUAGCCCUGGUCGUAAGGGCCAUGAUGACUUGACGUCAUCCCCACCUUCCUCCAGUUUAUCACUGGCAGUCUCCUUUGAGUUCCCGGCCGGACCGCUGGCAACAAAGGAUAAGGGUUGCGCUCGUUGCGGGACUUAACCCAACAUUUCACAACACGAGCUGACGACAGCCAUGCAGCACCUGUCUCACGGUUCCCGAAGGCACAUUCUCAUCUCUGAAAACUUCCGUGGAUGUCAAGACCAGGUAAGGUUCUUCGCGUUGCAUCGAAUUAAACCACAUGCUCCACCGCUUGUGCGGGCCCCCGUCAAUUCAUUUGAGUUUUAACCUUGCGGCCGUACUCCCCAGGCGGUCUACUUAACGCGUUAGCUCCGGAAGCCACGCCUCAAGGGCACAACCUCCAAGUAGACAUCGUUUACGGCGUGGACUACCAGGGUAUCUAAUCCUGUUUGCUCCCCACGCUUUCGCACCUGAGCGUCAGUCUUUGUCCAGGGGGCCGCCUUCGCCACCGGUAUUCCUCCAGAUCUCUACGCAUUUCACCGCUACNNNNNNNNNNNNNNNNNNNNCCUGGAAUUCUACCCCCCUCUACAAGACUCAAGCCUGCCAGUUUCGAAUGCAGUUCCCAGGUUGAGCCCGGGGAUUUCACAUCCGACUUGACAGACCGCCUGCGUGCGCUUUACGCCCAGUAAUUCCGAUUAACGCUUGCACCCUCCGUAUUACCGCGGCUGCUGGCACGGAGUUAGCCGGUGCUUCUUCUGCGGGUAACGUCAAUUGCUGCGGUUAUUAACCACAACACCUUCCUCCCCGCUGAAAGUACUUUACAACCCGAAGGCCUUCUUCAUACACGCGGCAUGGCUGCAUCAGGCUUGCGCCCAUUGUGCAAUAUUCCCCACUGCUGCCUCCCGUAGGAGUCUGGACCGUGUCUCAGUUCCAGUGUGGCUGGUCAUCCUCUCAGACCAGCUAGGGAUCGUCGCCUUGGUGAGCCGUUACCUCACCAACAAGCUAAUCCCAUCUGGGCACAUCUGAUGGCAAGAGGCCCGAAGGUCCCCCUCUUUGGUCUUGCGACGUUAUGCGGUAUUAGCCACCGUUUCCAGUAGUUAUCCCCCUCCAUCAGGCAGUUUCCCAGACAUUACUCACCCGUCCGCCACUCGUCAGCAAAGCAGCAAGCUGCUUCCUGUUACCGUUCGACUUGCAUGUGUUAGGCCUGCCGCCAGCGUUCAAUCUGAGCCAUGAUCAAACUCUUCAAUUUAAAAGUUUGAUGCUCAAUGAAUUAAACUUCGUAAUGAAUUACGUGUUCACUCUUGAGACUUGGUAUUCAUUUUUCGUC
RNAcentral lists this ribosomal RNA (1688 nucleotides) under Salmonella enterica subsp. enterica serovar Paratyphi A. Its description in RNAcentral is "16S ribosomal RNA". The record is from RNAcentral. Lineage: Bacteria; Pseudomonadati; Pseudomonadota; Gammaproteobacteria; Enterobacterales; Enterobacteriaceae.